This 305-nucleotide ribosomal RNA is filed under the name uncultured bacterium. RNAcentral describes it as "bacterial SSU rRNA". It matches the Rfam family "Bacterial small subunit ribosomal RNA", at positions 335 to 637 of the family's 1533-position model. The record is from RNAcentral.
UUUCCUACGGGGGGCAGCAGUGAGGAAUAUUGGUCAAUGGGCGGGAGCCUGAACCAGCCAAGCCGCGUGAAGGAAGAAGGCGCCAGGCGUCGUAAACUUCUUUUGUCGGGGAACAAAGGGCGCCACGCGUGGCGUUGUGAGUGUACCCGAAGAAAAAGCAUCGGCUAACUCCGUGCCAGCAGCCGCGGUAAUACGGAGGAUGCGAGCGUUAUCCGGAUUUAUUGGGUUUAAAGGGUGCGUAGGCGGUCCGGAAAGUCAGCGGUAAAAGCCCAGGGCUCAACCCCGGGACUGCAUUGGGAACUGCC